This 253-nucleotide ribosomal RNA is filed under the name uncultured bacterium. RNAcentral's name for it is "partial 16S ribosomal RNA". It matches the Rfam family "Bacterial small subunit ribosomal RNA", at positions 524 to 776 of the family's 1533-position model. The record is from RNAcentral.
UACGAAGGGGGCUAGCGUUGCUCGGAAUCACUGGGCGUAAAGGGUGCGUAGGCGGGUCUUUAAGUCAGAGGUGAAAUCCUGGAGCUCAACUCCAGAACUGCCUUUGAUACUGAGGAUCUUGAGUACGGGAGAGGUGAGUGGAACUGCGAGUGUAGAGGUGAAAUUCGUAGAUAUUCGCAAGAACACCAGUGGCGAAGGCGGCUCACUGGCCCGUUACUGACGCUGAGGCACGAAAGCGUGGGGAGCGAACAGG